Molecule: ribosomal RNA, 895 nt
Filed under: Didymella glomerata
Lineage: Eukaryota; Fungi; Ascomycota; Dothideomycetes; Pleosporales; Didymellaceae
Description: eukaryotic LSU rRNA
Rfam family: Eukaryotic large subunit ribosomal RNA (bases 122-895)
Source: RNAcentral
UCGCCUCUGCGUGUAGACUCGCCUCAAAACAAUUGGCAGCCGGCGUAUUGAUUUCGGAGCGCAGAACAUCUCGCGCUUUGCACUCAUAACGACGACGUCCAAAAGUACAUUUUUACACUCUUGACCUCGGAUCAGGUAGGGAUACCCGCUGAACUUAAGCAUAUCAAUAAGCGGAGGAAAAGAAACCAACAGGGAUUGCCCUAGUAACGGCGAGUGAAGCGGCAACAGCUCAAAUUUGAAAUCUGGCGUCUUCGGCGUCCGAGUUGUAAUUUGCAGAGGGCGCUUUGGCAUUGGCAGCGGUCCAAGUUCCUUGGAACAGGACGUCACAGAGGGUGAGAAUCCCGUACGUGGUCGCUAGCCUUUACCGUGUAAAGCCCCUUCGACGAGUCGAGUUGUUUGGGAAUGCAGCUCUAAAUGGGAGGUAAAUUUCUUCUAAAGCUAAAUACUGGCCAGAGACCGAUAGCGCACAAGUAGAGUGAUCGAAAGAUGAAAAGCACUUUGGAAAGAGAGUUAAAAAGCACGUGAAAUUGUUGAAAGGGAAGCGCUUGCAGCCAGACUUGCCUGUAGUUGCUCAUCCGGGUUUUUACCCGGUGCACUCUUCUAUAGGCAGGCCAGCAUCAGUUUGGGCGGUUGGAUAAAGGUCUCUGUCAUGUACCUCUCUUCGGGGAGAACUUAUAGGGGAGACGACAUGCAACCAGCCUGGACUGAGGUCCGCGCAUCUGCUAGGAUGCUGGCGUAAUGGCUGUAAGCGGCCCGUCUUGAAACACGGACCAAGGAGUCUAACAUCUAUGCGAGUGUUUGGGUGUCAAGCCCGAGCGCGUAAUGAAAGUGAACGGAGGUGGGAACCUUUCGGGGUGCACCAUCGACCGAUCCUGAUGUCUUCGGAUGGAUUUGA